This is a small nuclear RNA of Sorex araneus (European shrew), 102 nucleotides long. The record is from RefSeq and is a predicted model, not a curated record. NCBI's taxonomy places the organism in Eukaryota, Metazoa, Chordata, Mammalia, Eulipotyphla, Soricidae.
GUGCUCGUUUCGGCAGGACAUAUACUAAACUUGGAAUGAUAGAGAUUAGCAUGACCCCUGUGCAAGGAUGACACGCAAAUUCGUGAAGUGUUCUAUAUUUUU